GAUGAAGAACGCAGUGAAAUGCGAUAAGUAAUGUGAAUUGCAGAAUUCAGUGAAUCAUCGAAUCUUUGAACGCACCUUGCGCUCCUUGGUAUUCCGAGGAGCAUGCCUGUUUGAGUGUCAUGAAAUUCUCAAACCCAUAAGUCUUUGCGGGCUUACGGGCUUUGGACUUGGAGGCUUGUCGGCGACCGUAAAGUCACAUCGACUCCUCUCAAAUGCAUUAGCUUGAUUCCUUGCGGAUCGGCUCUCGGUGUGAUAAUUGUCUACGCCGUGACCGUGAAGCGUUUUGGCAAGCUUCUAACCGUCUCUAACGAGACAGCUUACUUUGACCUCUGACCUCAAAUCAGGUAGGACUACCCGCUGAACUUAAGCAUAUCAAUAAGCGGAGGA
RNAcentral lists this unclassified non-coding RNA (387 nucleotides) under soil metagenome. RNAcentral's name for it is "partial contains 5.8S ribosomal RNA, internal transcribed spacer 2, and large subunit ribosomal RNA". The stretch from base 1 to 120 matches the Rfam family "5.8S ribosomal RNA", at positions 35 to 154 of the family's 154-position model. The record is from RNAcentral.